This is a non-coding RNA of Canis lupus familiaris (dog), 105 nucleotides long. NCBI's taxonomy places the organism in Eukaryota, Metazoa, Chordata, Mammalia, Carnivora, Canidae. The record is from Rfam.
AGGAGGACCAACCCCAGUGGCGGCGGCAGCUCUGGAGCCCUGGAUUCAGCCCCUGCAGUAACUCCGGAGCUCUCCGUCUGCAGGGCCUGGAGGCUCCGGGGCGGG